RNAcentral lists this small nuclear RNA (107 nucleotides) under Pseudonaja textilis. The record is from RNAcentral. Lineage: Eukaryota; Metazoa; Chordata; Lepidosauria; Squamata; Elapidae.
GUGCUCACUUCGGCAGCACAUAUACUAAAAUUGGAAUGAUACAGAGAAGAUUAGCAUGGCCCCUGCUCAAGGAUGACAUGCAAAUUCGUGAAGCAUUCCAUAUUUUU